GGGAGGCACUAGCACCAGGCUUUGAUGUCCGAGUCCCAGUCAAGUCUCAAGUCCCUAAGGUCCCAGCCAAGCCUCGCGUCCCUGAGGUCCAAAUCAAGCCUCGCGUCCCUGAGUUCACGUUCAGGCCUACUGACCCAAAUGACCAAAUGCCGCUCACGCCCAGCCAAGCUCCGCUCACGCCACAGUCCGCCGACACGCACCGCCAAGCUCCGCUCACGCCACAGUCCGCCGACACGGCCAGCCAAGCUCUGCCUAUGCCCAAGGUUCACAUAGUGACCUCAGAGCCUCAGCCUCCCCGUUCAGCUGAGGUCGUCGCUCAGCCUCCCCGUUCAGCUGAGGUCGUCGCUCAGCCUCCCCGUUCAGCUGAGGUCGUCGCUCAGCCUCCCCGUUCAGCUGAGGUCGUCGCUCAGACUCCCCGUUCAGCUGAGGUCGUCGCUCAACCCGCCUGCUCCAUGGCAACUAGAGUUCCCCCCUUCUGCUUCGAGGAGACCCACGCUCCUCUCCCUGGCCGCACGGGGGACUUCUCUCAGCCUUCCAGUUCAGCUGGGGACGUCGCACCGCUUUCAUGCUCUGCCGAGGAAAUAUCUCAGCCUCCCUGUGCCAUUGUAGAAGCCGCCCGGCCUCCUGAUUUUGCGGGGGACAUUUUCUCCAGGGGGCCAGGACCACCAGAUGGAGGACGUAUAAUUUUGGGCGCUCCGGGAGUAGCGCCAUUGGGGGAGGGUUCUGUCACAUAUCAGGAAGCUCUGGACUCCACUUCCCAUCAGCCACUGCACUGCACUACAUGUCACAUGACCACCUGCACCUGAUUCACGUUUUGGUUAAUGAGCACUCGUGUGUGUGUGUGUGUGUGUGUGUGUGUGUGUGUGUGUGUAUAUAUAGCCAUUGUCUGCACUGAUUCACUGUCUUGUGUUGUAUUAGACUGCCAUGUUACAUGUUUUGUUUCAUGCCACAGUAUUUUGCCUAGUUGUCGUAGUGUCUAUGUUUUGUUGUUUGUUCAUAUAAUAAAUGUUAUAUAUCUG
Molecule: long non-coding RNA, 1019 nt
Organism: Ictalurus punctatus (channel catfish)
Lineage: Eukaryota; Metazoa; Chordata; Actinopteri; Siluriformes; Ictaluridae
Source: Ensembl